AACGAACGCUGGCGGCGUGGAUUAGGCAUGCAAGUCGUACGCGAAAGAGGGGGCAACCCCUUGAGUAGAGUGGCGAACGGGUGAGUAACGCGUGAGGAACCUGCCUUCGACAGGGGGAUAACACUCCCAACGGGGUGCUAAUACCGCAUGAGACCACGGGGCUGCAUGGCCCUGAGGUCAAAGAUGGCCUCUAUUUAUAAGCUAUCGGUCGAAGAUGGCCUCGCGUCCCAUUAGCUAGUUGGCGGUGUAAAAGACCACCAAGGCGACGAUGGGUAGCCGGCCUGAGAGGGUGAACGGCCACACUGGGACUGAGAUACGGCCCAGACUCCUACGGGAGGCAGCAGUCGGGAAUCUUCCACAAUGGGCGAAAGCCUGAUGGAGCGACGCCGCGUGAGUGAUGAAGGUCUUCGGAUCGUAAAGCUCUGUUACCAGGGAUGAAACAAGACGGUACCUGGGGAGGAAGCCACGGCUAACUACGUGCCAGCAGCCGCGGUAAGUG
RNAcentral lists this ribosomal RNA (499 nucleotides) under uncultured bacterium. RNAcentral describes it as "bacterial SSU rRNA". It matches the Rfam family "Bacterial small subunit ribosomal RNA", at positions 29 to 526 of the family's 1533-position model. The record is from RNAcentral.